CUACCCACGCAUGACUCAGAGGACAUUGCAUCAGCAGCUCUCCACUUCUCUAAUACCCAGGCUCCCCACAUGCUCGCAAUCCACUUUCCAGCAGUCGGUCCUUCUCAAGAGAAGCUCUACUGUCUUCCCUGCAGCUUUACCAUCUCCUGCGCACAUCAUUCACCAUUAAGAACUUUUUGUUUAUGCCCCCCCUCUUUUUGUUUUUACCCUCAGCGUCAUUUGCGGGCUGAAAACUGAGGUCGGUAACUAGGAGAGGAUUCUUUCUACGGUGACUGCAAACAAAACCCUGAUCCACCACCCUGGUCCUGGCUGAAAAGAACUGUAGGAAAGGUAUUGAUUUGUGCUGAUUCCUCUUUUAUUCUAAGCUUCAAAUUAAUAUCAUGUUGUUGUCUUCCCAAACUUUCAUUAGUAGAUUCCUGGGCUCCUAGCUGGUUAUGCCUCCAUGAUUAGACAUAACUUCGGGGUCUGGGUGGGGGUGGGGGUGGGGUUGAUCUCUGAAACCAAGCUCUCUAGAUGAAGGCAGUAGAAAGAGGCAAUACCUCAGCAGGCAUCUGAGGUCUCCUGGUAUUCUCCAGCACUCUUCAAAUAGGCAAAGUGCAUGCUCUGCGUGUUUUUUUGGUUUGUUUGUUUGUUUUUGUUUUCUUUUUUAUCACUUUAAGGGACUUUUUUAUUGAAUAUAUAUAUUCAAUAUAUAUAUAUAUCCAUCCUAUCCCACCCCCUCCCCUUCUUCUAUAAGGGUGUUUCCCUCCCCACCCCCCCUUCUGACAUUCCUCUACACUGGGGGAUCCAACCUUGGCAGGACCAAGGGCUUCUCCUUCCAUUGGUGCUCGACAAGGUUACCCUCUGCUACAUUUGCAGUUUUUAUGCUAGGGUCAGUCCAUGUAUAGUCUUGGGGUAGUGGUUUAGUCCCUGGGAGCUCUGGUUGGUUGGCAUUGUUGUUCUUAUGGGGUUGUAAGCCCCUUCAGCUCUUUCAAUCCUUUCUCUAAUUCCUCCAAGAGGAGUCCCAUUCUCAGUUCAGUGGUUAACGGAUAGCAUUUGCCUCUGUAUUUGAUAUGCUCUGGCUGUGUCUCUCAGGAGAGAUCUAUAUCUGACUCUUUCAGCAUGCACUUCUUAGCUUCAUAUAUCUUAUCUAGUUUUGGUGGCUGUAUGUGUAUGGGACAGAUGUGGGACAGGCUCUGAAUGGCUGUUCCUUCAGUCUCUGCUCUAAACUUUGCCUCCAUAGUCCCUCCUAUGAAUAUUUUUGUUCCCCUUUUAAGAAGGAGUGAAGUGGUCUUCCUUCUUCUAGAGCGUCAUGUAGUCUGUGGAUUGUACCUUGGGUAAUUCGAGCUUUUGGGCUAAUGUCCACUUAUCAGUGAGUGCAUACCAUGUGUGUUUUUCUGUGAUUGGGUUACCUCACCCAGGAUGAUAUUUUCUAGUUCAAUCCAUUGGCCUAUGAAUUUCAUGAAGUCAUUGUUUUUGAUAGCUGAAUAGUACUUCAUUGUGUAGAUGUACCACAUUUUCUGUAUCCAUUCCUCCAUUGAAGGGCAUCUAGGUUCUUUUCAGCUUCUGGCUAUUAUAAAUAAGGCUGCUAUGAACAUAGUAGAGCAUGUGCCUUUGUUAUAUGUUGGGGCAUCUUUUGGGUAUAUGCACAGGAGAGGUAUAGCUGGGUCCUUAGGUAGUGCAAUGUCCUAUUUUCUGAGGAAACUCCAGACUGAUUUCCAGAGUGGUUUUACCAGUCUGCAAUCCCACCAACAGUGGAGGAGUGUUCCUCUUUCUCCACAUCCUUGCCAGCAUCUGUUAUCACCUGAGUUUUUGAUCUUAGCCAUUCUGACUGGUGUGAGGUAGAAUCUCAGGGUUGUUUUGAUUUGCAUUUGAAAACCUGAUGCUUUCAAGGCUUUCUGCCAUGUUAUAGUGAAUCUUGAGCCAAAAGAAGAAAGAGGGCCAGGGUUUGGCCCUUUUUUGUUUGUUUGUUUGUUUGAUUUUUUGUUUGUUUGUUUUUGCAUGGUUCUAAAGUCCUACACCCUGAAUGUGCUAUCUUUUAUGCUUCAUUUAAAUGUCCAGGAAAAUCUUUGAGAGGAGUAGCCAGCAACUCACUAAACAACAGCUUCUGUUGGAUUUACUUAUGCACUUCUAAAAUCUCAGUUAAAUACAGAUUGUGGGAAAUGCCCCAGUAUUAAGCGGGACCAUGCUUGGUGUUUAGAUAGACACAGCUUCUUCGUAAAUGCUCGCCGUGGCCUGAUCUGAGUCUUCUGUUGUUUUAAUAUCAGAUGAAAAUGUAGUGCCAAGCCUCUGACACAGCUUUCUCAAAGGAACAGUGAACAGAGGCUCCAUUUUAUGUUAAAGAAGCAAAGUCGUAAGAUUAAAAAGAAACCUCAAGAAAAUUAUGAUUAAGGAGCACAGGGAGGGGAAGGGUUUUUACGGGAUGUGGAAAGUGUAGGUGUAAAAGGCAAAAGGCAGCAAUGUGAGCGGGACUCGAGCCUUUUUCAUAAAAUACAUUUUUAGAUAUUUCUCUGUGAGAGCUAUAAAAACAUUGGAAGAAUGUUUACCAGGAGUGUAGAUCCCACAAAGACUUUGUUUCUAAGACUAGCCAAUAUUCUAUCUAAUCACAAAAUGAAUAUUUUUAAUGCAGGGGACUAUGUUCCUUUAAACAAUUUUCCCUGUAAAAAAUUAGGGAAGGCUGGGGAAGAUUGAGAUUCUCUCUUACUUUUUUUUUUAAAACAAAUUGAUGUCUUGUGUGUAAGUGACCUUGAUUGCUAUAGGGGAGAGGUCAGAAAGCUGAGAAAAUUAAAGCAUCAGAGGUAUAUUCCUUCGGAGUGAAGAGAUGGGUUAAUGAACACAGGGGAAAAGGGGGUUAAAAGCCAAGGGGAUCAGGGUUUAUAGCAAUUUACAAUGGAAGGAGAAUCUAAACCACAUUUUAGCAAUAGCAAACUUAUAGAGACAUAAUACUUUUGUAACUGGAAAGUACUUAGAGUUGCUAGUUUGAUGUUUGCAGCUUUAAUGUAAGUUUGAUGAAUUACUGGCUUUGGAUGACUUAAUUCAAGUUGCCCCCUAUCCAGUGCCAGUUCCAGAGCCUGUCUCCAGAGGGAAUCAGUGAUGUUGCAGAAGGAGGUAUGGUGUUCAGGACUGAAAUAAGUGAAAAAGAUCAGCCAGCGUACAAAUGAUUCAGUUAAUUCUACAUCACACUUCACACACACACACACACACACACACACACACACACACACACACAUUUCACAAGUUGCCUACAUACUUUUUUUUUGCUUGUUUGUCUGUUUGUUUCAGACAAGAUCUCCCUCUGUGGUCCUGGCUGUCCUGAAACUUCCUUUGAAAACCGUGCUGCUCUCAAACUCACAGAAAUCUUCCUCCCUCUGCCUCCCAAGUGCUGGUAUUAAAGGCAGGCACCAUCAUGCUCAGCCUUGACUGUAUACAUUUUGAAAUGAAUCCACAUGUUUGAUUCUUUUUUUCACAUUUCAACAGAAGGUUGAAUGCAACAUAAAGACACAGAAUAUAUUUCUGGAAGAAAGAGGAGGGAGACGUUUUCGAAGUAGGUUAGUUCGGAACUUAUAGGGACGUGUUUUGCAGACCCAUGACUGUGCAGUUUCCCAUCUGGUCCUGAUUCGUGAUCAGCAGAUGCAACACAUGUGACUCACCCACACAACACGUCAUAUUCUUGACCCAGAUCAUGAACAUUAUGAGCAUAAUUUGCCAAGCUCCAGUCUCUCAUCCUUCCUCCAGAGGAAUCUUGUAUGCAGACACUGCAGUCAGCUCUUGGGGUUUCUCCUUAAUCCUUAGUUUCCAGUUUGGCCAGGUAACUAGGCUUACUGUCCCAACUGAAUAUAGAGCUAGAGUCCUAAGGGUGUUGCAUAACUGACUGGAAGUCACACCGAUAAGAUGUAGGAAGCUAGGUUUUGGAUCUAUGGGAUCUAAUUCCGUAGCUUACCCUGCAAUCCCUGAGCCCUGCCCAGCACACAUUCAUCAAUGUACACAGUGGGGUUGGAAGUGCAACGUGGUGCUUUGGAGCGGAGCAAAUGUAAAUGGCCCACCUGGGGACUGAACCCAUGACCUUGGCAUGAUUAGCACAGGGCUAACAGAUGAGUGAAUACCAGAAGCAUUUUAUCUAGAGUUCUCUCAUAUGAGUUUUUUUUGACGGCAGGAUAUUCAAGUCAAUGGGAAGCUAUUAAACCUAUUGAAGCACGUAACGCAGACAAAAAAGCACAUCGGUCCUUUUUCCAGAUUUCUCUAAGAAUUCAACUUACAUGUAUAAACAAGUUUUCAUAUCUCUCUCUCUCUCUCUCUCUCUCUCUCUCCUGUGUGUGUGUGUAAACGCACUAACUGAAGACAUGAAAUGUGGACUUGUCACAAGCGUGCACUGAUGCAUGCAUGUCUUUCUGUACUUAAAUGAUUAAUAUGCUAAGCAUGUGGUCUGUGUGUAUAAUGACCAAGGCCUCACUGGUUUUGCAUUUAAAUGUGACUCUUCAACUUCAAAUUUGUUAUCCAGAAAACUCCGAAUCUGGAAAGAUUUGAUGUAUUUCAAGUAGAAAUGUGUUUUGUCUAAAUGGAGGGUAGUAUGUUCCAAGACUCCUAGGGGAUGCCUGGCUGUGCAUAGCAGCCUGAAGUAGAACUAGACCACACUCAGAACAGAUUUGCCCUUUGUGCUCUGUAAAGGACACUGCACAGAGGUUAGGGGAAUACAAGCAAGCAUCGCAGUGGCAGUCAGUCUGCUCAGCAAGAAAUCCACUAAGUGACCAACCCUAGUGGCAUCAAAUACACAGAGUACACUGGAUAAAGUGGUGACUUCAGUCUUCAGAGUGGUGAGUGGUGCAGCCUUCCAAAGUUAUGGAUUAAUAUUAAUUUAUUAAUAUUUAUUAAUAUUAAUAAAUAUUCCUGGGAGUCUCCAAUCCAUCUUUUCAGACGAUAGUUAGGAUUGCUGGAACUGUGGGAAGCAAAAACCUCACGUAAAAAGAGCCCACUGUGCUUUCCGGUCCUUAAGUAGAUGUCACGGAUCUCUGACUGAUUGUGCCUGCACAACUUCUUUCAGGAGUCCUGGGUGUUUCUGCAGGACACUGGGGCGUUACUAUCCCCACACUGCAAACAGAAGAUGGUAUUUUUUCAGCCGGUUUUGCUUCGUUCACUGAUUUAAGUCGUGUUUCAAUCCGGUUGAGAUUGGACGUAGCAGGGUGCUGGAAACGGCAGGGAAUUGCAAGUCCUUCCCCAAUCGAUCUGCGGUUGUUCCUAGUGAGGCUAACAGAAAUGAAGCCAAGCCCUACGUCCGGGAGAAGGGGCAAGAGUCACCGUAAGUACUUCGUGAUCCCACCAGGAACAGCAAUCCUCUUCUCGUCGCCAAGCGUUUCUGAAUCCAACUUAUUCCUCAUCAGCGAGCUCUUCCCCAAACAAGACACCGCACAUCAGCCAUUUGGGAUCUCUUCCAUCCAUGUUGUAACGCGCUCUUCCGUGCAGUUUGUACUCACUGCAGCAUGUGCCGCCGCCAAGAGCAAGGCGUUGGUAAUCUGGGCACCCACAGUUGUGAUGAGGCAUCUUCAAUGCCGUCGUCCAAAUCAAAUAUUUGGCUGUGCUUCUUCAGAUGCGAUAUCUCAUAUUGUCACUGUGGUGCUGGCAGAGCGGGGAACUUGGGCAUGGAGGGAAGGGCCCAAAAAGGGUGGAGGUGGGGAGGGGAGGAGGGGAGACGGGAUGAGGAGGGGAGGGGGAAAGAGGCCCUGCCUGUGUCGAAUCUUCCAGCCAAGCAUCCUAACGUUUGAUCAUCUCUACAAUGUUUGGACAGGAGCCAGGUAUGCAUAAUACUCGGACAGAAGAACAGUAUGCAGUGUGGGUUGGCUUUACCCCACGAGACACUCCCUAAGCUACCAUUACUGGUAUUUUAGCAUGAUUUUCUAUUGUCUACUUCUCUGCUGGCAUGCAAGGAAGUGUGGCAUGCCUGGAGAUGCUUAUAAUUUAUUGGCCUAUUUUUAUUAUUGUUGCUUGUUUGUUGCAAAGCCUCUGUAGCCCAGACUUGACUGGAAUGCACGGUCCUUCAGGGAUUCCACACACAUCCCAGCUUUGGUUCUUGGGGUAAGCCUGGAAACUAAGAGAGUAAGUAACUCAGGAGCACCACUGCCUUCUUUCUACAGAAGAAAUCCUAAGAUCUCAAAGAGCGGAGGCAAAGAGUGGACACAAUUGUUUCAAUAUCUCCAUUGACUCCUAGUCGUUUCUCUUGGCCUUCUGCCGCUGAGGCUGCCUACUGAGAAAAAAAAAACUUUACAGAUCCAUGAGGAAAUACGAUUCUAUCAGAAAGGCACUACAUUGGGGGUGGGGGAGUUUUAAGAUUGGAGAAUCUUGCAGCUGGAGGGAUGAGUCAGUAGGUCAGAGUGCUUGGUAUAUAAACAUGAGGAUCUGAGUUUGAGCCAUGUAUAAAGCCAGGCAUGUAACACUGACAUUAUGGAGAUGGAUACAGGGAGAUCUUGGGAGCUUGCUGGCUAAGCAGCCUAAGUGAAAUGUGAAGCUGGUAGUUUAGUGAAGGGCAUGUCUUAAAGGAAUAAGGAAGAAAGCAACCGAGGGAAUACUGACACCCUAUUCUGGUCUCCAUAUGUACAACAUAUACACGAGCGUGCUUAUGUGCGAGUGCGCGUGUGUGUGUGUGUGUGUGUGUGUGUGCGCGCACACACACCCCACUUUAUUGAGAUGUAGUUUUGUUUUAUGUGUGUGUUCAAGUAUAUGAACACAUGUAAUCAAGUAUGAAUGUACACAUACAUGUGUCUGGGUACCUGUGGAAGCAAAAGGAGGUCAGAGCAUUCCCUGGAGCUGGAGUUAACAGGCAGUUUCGAGUCAUAACUUGGAUUCUCUGCAAGGGCAGCAAGCACUGUUAAGUGCCAAACCAUCUUUCACACCAACUCUCCCCAUUCCUGACAAGAGGAAGAAAAGAAUAGAUCAAAGGAUAUCUCCAAUGUCUGCCAUAAAGUAAGUAGUUUUAUUACUUUUGUCUUCUUUUGGUUUGGUGGAAGUUUGGUUAUGCAAAUAUCAAUUUUCCCAAGCACCAUUGCGGUGUUCAUUCAUCUUGCUUUGCAAGCUCAGAUAGAGCAGGUUAAUUCACUCUCUUGGAGCAACUGUUCUAUCAUUACUUGGGGCUCUGUCACAUGGCAUUAGGUUCUGUUUUCUCACUUUAAAGUAAGUUAGAGGGCUCGCCCAGAAAACCUGAAGACUCUCUGAAGUGGAAACUUAAGGCUUCUUUGGAAAGUCAGUUGUGUCAGAUGGUGUUUUGCUGAGUCAAACAAAUGGAGUGUUUUCCUGAAGCAGACACAGGUGAAAGGAUGUUUUGCUAAAGCAAUCAUGUGAAAGAAAUCAUGAAGGAUUCUACACUAAUGACACACAUGUGUUGGUCAGUCUUACAAUGUGUAGCUGAGCUGUUUGUCAUGACUCCAUGGAGAGAAAUGCACUGAAAAACUUCUGGUGGUGCCCUAGUGGCUUACAGAUUAUAGAAUGUAUACAGAUUACAUUCUAUACCUCUUUAUGAACCAGAGUGGCUUUAUCCUGAGUUUUGCAGGCAAAGAGAUGAAACUAGAAAAUAUCAUCGGGAGUGAGGUAACUCAGACCCAAAAGGACAUGCAUGGUAUGUUCUCACUAAUAAGUGGAUAUUGGUAAAAAAAAAAUACAGAAUACCCAAGAUACAGUCCACAGAAUUUGAAAAGGUCACCAAACUGAAGGGCCCAAGUGAGGACGCCUCAGUCCCAUUUGGGAAGAAAGCAACCACAAGGGGGGUUGAAGGGAGGAACAGGAAAAGAAAAGGGAUUGGGGGUUGGGAGGGAGGGCUGAAACCUUGAGGGUCAGCAAAAAGAAUGGCAACAGGCGACCUGGGGAGGAAGGAGGUUGGAAGGACCCUCUGGAAUGUACCAGAGACCUGGGAAGUAAGGGAGUCUCAGGAUUCAAAGCGGGGUACCCUAGAUGAAAUGCCCUACAGUGGGGAGAGGGAACUUAUUGAACCCACUUCCAGCAGAAAUAUGGGGCAUCACAAGGGAUGGAGUUGCUAUCCCCCUGUCAAAGCUCUGACCCAUAAUUGUUCCUGUCUGAAAGAACUGCAGGGCUGGAAAUGGAGAAGAGCCUGAGGAAAAGGAGGUCCGGCAACAGGCCCAAAGGGGGAUCCAGCUCAAGGGGAGGCCCCAAGACCUGACACCAUUACUGAGGCUAUAGGGCUUUCACAAAAAGAGACCUAUCAUGAUUGUCCUCCAAAAGACCCAACAAGCAGCUGAAAGAGUCAGAUGCAGAUAUGUGCACCCAACCAAUGAACAGAAGCUGCUGACCCCUCUGGUUGAUUUAGGGGGAAACUGGAAGAAGCUGAGGAGGACCAAAAUUUCAACCUAGACUCCCGAGAUCUCUCAGACACUAGAUCACCAACCAGGCAGCAUAACCACCUGAGAUGAGGCCUCCAACACAUGUACAGCAGAGGACUCCGUGGUCUGGGUUCAGUCAGAGAAGAUGCACAUAACCGUCAACAGGCUAGAGGCCCCAGGAAGAUGGGGUGGGUGGAUGGGGACAUCCUUGUGGAGAUUUCGGGGGGUGGUAUGGGAUGUGGAACUGUCGAAGGGUGGACCAGGAGGAGAAUAAAAUCUGGAGUAUAAAAAUAAAUAAAUAAAUAGAUAAAUAAAUAAAAUUAGAAAAAAAUGGUUUUAAAAAGUCAGACCUAUAGUAGUUAAUUAUAUUAUUAAAACUAAAAAUUAAAUUUCAUAAAGGAGAUAGAAAAUAUUCAAUGGUGCACUGUAUUUCUUUUACUUUUAAUUUUUUAUGUUUACUUGUAUUAAUCCAAUAGCUCUCUGGGUAUGAAGCUGGACGUCACGUAGCUCUGUCCUGCUUGUGGAUUGUGCCCGUGAUUUAUCAGAUAAUGAAGUCUGGAAGCUUUAUAUGCUUUUUUUUGGAUUUAUUCUUUUGUAAAAUAAGUCUAUCUUCCUAUCACUUGUAGGCAAAGCUAAAAUCUUGCUUUUUAAAAUAGUUCAUUGACACUGUCGAAUUGUUUCAUCUCUAUAAACUUUGAGUCUAUGUUGCCAUUACUACCAUAAGACUUUGUGGUUGUUCAAAUAGUUGAUACUCAUGGGGGUUUUCUGAAAUGUCUGCGCUUCUUUUUCCCUUUAGAUUUGUCUUGUGUUUCUGUGGUGGGAGGCUUCCUUCAUCUAUGAAUCUUACUUCAGUGUUUCUUUGCUGAUUACUCCUUCUCUGGGUUUACCAAAAACAUCUCAUUUCUGAAAAUGUCAGUGUUUCCCCUCAUGGAUAAGGUGCAGACUUCCAGCUCCCUGGGGCUUUGCUCUUUCUUGUAGCACAGUGUUUCCUAGCUGCCCUGGAGACCCAUGGGACAGCAGAGGGCCACCUCUACCCAUCACUGCUUUAAUGUUUUGAUCCCUGGACCUCUCCACUGCCAUCCGAUUGACUGCACCUUUAUGCGUUUUCUUAUUUUCUGGGAAUUUUAAUCAGAUAGUUUUGGGUAUUUAUUUUACUUAGAGAUUUUAGAUUGGAAUAUUCUUCAUAAGUGUCAAUAUCUUUAAAUAUUCAUUCUACUUUAUUUUCUCAUUUAUUUAUGGACUCUAAUAUGCACGUGUCAACUCACUUCCAAUGUCUGUCUAUCUGUCUGUCUGUCUGUCUAUCUAAGUAUCUGUUUAUGUAAUGUAUGUAUCUUUCUACCUGUCUAUCAUGUUUUUAGCUAUGUAUCUGUUUAUUUAGCUAUUAUCUUGUUGUGGUUUGCCCUGGAGUUAUCUGUAUUUUGAUGCUAAUCCCACUACCCCCUUCUCCCCAUUGAAUUUGUAAAAUGCAGGUGAGGGGCAGAUACAGGAUAGAAGGAGGCCUGUCAUUGGAGGAGAAGGAAGGAUGGGUGGGAGAGAAGUUUGAAGGAAGAGGAGGAGACUGGAAUGGAAAGGAUGAGAGGAGAGAGAGAGGGAGAAGCCGUGGCAGGACAAUAUGGUGGGUGAUGUUAUGAUUCCACGCUGUACCUUUACAGGUGGUUACAAAUGAUCUUAAGGGAUGGAUGGUACUGGGCUUUAUAUGUUUAGGUUAUUGUGUUGUGUGUUCUUUCAUGUGUAGAUUUAAGUGUAAUGGAGUGUGAGGUGACUGGUCUGGGCCACCAUGGAGGUGGGAUGUGUUUCCACCAAGAUAUCUAGCAGAUAUCUUGGGGCACUGUGGUGUGGAACUAGCGGGAUAAAAGACACCAAUACUUUUUUUAUUUUUUAUAUUUUUACAACAACAUCAUCUACUAUCUAUCAGCUUUCUAGUCUAUGUAUCUAUAUAUCUAUCUACCUUCUAUAUGUAUAUGUAUGUAUGUAUGUAUGUUAUAUGUAUGUGUGUAUGUAUGUAUGUGUGUAUGUGUGUGUAUGUAUUAUGUGUGUAUGUAUGUAUCUUUGUGUGUAUAUGUAUGUAUGUGUGUGUAUGUGUGUGUAUGUAUUAUGUGUGUAUGUAUGUAUCUUUGUGUGUAUAUGUAUGUAUGUGUGUAUGUAUGUGUGUGUAUGUAUUAUGUGUGUAUGUAUUAUGUGUGUAUGUAUGUAUCUUUGUGUGUAUAUGUAUGUAUGUAUGUAUGUAUGUGUGUAUGUAUGUAUGCAUGUGUGUAUGUGUGUGUAUGUAUUAUGUGUGUAUGUAUGUAUCUUUGUGUGUGUAUGGUGUAUGUGUGUAUAUGUAUGUAUGUGUGUGUAUGUGUGUGUAUGUAUGUAUCUUUGUGUGUAUAUGUAUGUAUGUGUGUAUGUAUGUGUGUGUAUGUAUUAUGUGUGUAUGUAUGUAUCUUUGUGUGUAUAUGUAUGUAUGUAUGUAUGUGUGUGUGUGUAUGUAUGUAUGCAUGUGUGUACCAUGUUCUUUUCAUCAUUUGCAACUCUGUUCACCUCUGUUCACUCUGGGAACUCCCUUCUUGGUUUUCAGCCACAGAAACAUCUUCUAGUUUAUGAAUACUCUAUCCAACUGUUUACAACUGCUCUUAAAUUCAAAAUGAGAUCCAAAGCUUGAAAGACAUCAGAAUAUUUUUGAUCCUUCUACAAUCUGACUAAUCAGGGUUGUCUGUCUUCUUAGUGUCCUAAUAAAGCCGUCCUUUGACCUCAUCAAAAUGAUCCUCACCUUAGAUAUUGCAUAUGUACCUGUAGUUCUAAUGUUCAUGUUAUAUUAAACAUUUUAAAGUUGAUUUAAAAGUCUAUUUUGAGCAUAUUAUUCAGCUACUGCAAAAUCCAAGAGUGCUAUUUGUAACAAUGAUCGGCUUCAUUUUCUUCUCUUGGGCUUCAUGUAUUUUCAGUAGAUCUUAGACUGGCCUGACACUUUCUUUCCAUGGAUGGGCUAGAGACUUUUGAUAUGCUGUAUGUGAAUAUUUUUUUAUCUAAGGAGGCACUAAGAAGUUGCUGUAAAAAAAAAGAUACAAUCUUCCUAUGAGCAUUCAGAACCCAGAACAAGUGUCUCAGCUGAUAUAUUUCAGUGGAGAAAAAAGUAUCUUCCAUUAGAUACAACCUAACAGAGGCACAAGGCUUUGGGAUUAAGAGGUGACUGGAUUUUAGCAGUUGUAUGGGGUGCAACAAAAAGGCCUUUCAUCCUGGUCCACAUGCAGAUUGCCAUGUAUACAAGAUGGUUCACAAUGUCUAUAUGGAUUACAAUAUAUUUUUCCUGCAUGCCCUGACCCAUUUAGUCUGUCUAUAACCCAUCUAGAAGAUGUCAAAUCUGGUUCAUGUGUAUGUAACAUUUAAACAUGAUGUUACAUUUUCAUAGAACUAAAAAUGUAAAAAUACACCAAUCUUAAUUUUAAGGUAUUAACAGAAAUCAUAACUCAUUCUUAGAAAUGUUAUCUGAGGAAAUAAUGGACUAAUACAGAUAGGUAACAGUACAAUACCUACCUACCCAUUAAUUUAUAUAUUAACAUCUUUCAUUGACUCAAGUAAACAAUGCUAACAAGUCAGUAGGAUAAAAGUGACAGUUUUGUGGGUAAAAGGCAGAAGAAUCAUAAAGGACAAAAGUAAGAAAAUGUCCCUAGAGAGGAGUAGUUAAGACCCCAGCGCCCAGAGAAAAGACUACAGACUAUUGAUAAAUGCUGAGAGAAAGAAAAAUCAGUCUUCCCCAGAGAUGGAGCCCCUAGGUGUUAAUCAAUAUCAAGUGUUUAGCCCUAAAAAGGUAUACACAUGAGCAACAUUAAAGGGACUUAGCAGGUUGCGUUAUUCAUUCGCCUGCUUGUUUGUGUCACUUAUUUACAUAUCCAUUUGUUUAUGUGUACUAUAAUAACUUUUUAAAAAGUGCUCAUGCACUCAAGAGGGAGUGAGAAAGAUAAAAGAGGCUGCUGGGCAGGAAAGGGAGAGGGGGAAAUGAUUAAAAUAUAGUACACCAAAAGUUAAAAAUAAAUAGGACGACUACAUGAUUACCAUUACAAAUUCCUUCCUUUCCUCUCUUGUUCUUGUUAUAUAAGAUUAACUCAUAUAACUCUGGCCUCAAACUCAUCAUCCUCUUGCCUCAGCUUCCUAUGUGAUAUGAAUACAGGCAAACAAUACCAUGCCUAGCUUCUUUUCUAUAUAUUUAUAUAUCUUUUAAUUAAAGAAAUUGACAUACAAUUUAUUUUGAUCAUGUUCUUCUUACUCCUCCCAUUUCAAACCCACCUCCCUACCCUCCUACUUUCUUGUUCUCUCUCUCUCUCUCUCUCUCUCUCUCUCUCUCUCUCUCCCCCCCUCUCCUUCUCCCUUUUACUCUCCCUCUCCUUCUCCAUUUUCCUCUCCCUCUCCCUCUUCCUUUCCCUCUCCCUCUCCCUCUCCCUCUUCUUCUCCCUCUCUCAACAAAGUGAAAAAACGAACACAAAAAAACCCAAUGAGACAAAAUGAAAAUCAUGAAGUUUACUUUAUUACUUUAUGUUGGCCAACAAUUGGUUUUGGAGUCUUCCAAACAUACAUAAACACACAUACAUACACAUAUACACACAUACAUACAUAUGUAGGUGUGGAGUAUCACUGGGUGAUGAACACAUGGGCACUGGAAAAAAUUUCCUGAACAAAACACCAAUGGCUUAUGCUCUAAGAUCAAGAAUCGACAAAUGGGAUCUCAUAAAACUGCAAAGCUUCUGUAAGGCAAAGGACACUGUGGUUCAGACAAAACGGCAACCAACAGAUUGGGAAAAGAUCUUUACCAAUCCUACAACUGAUAGAGGCCUUAUAUCCAAAAUAUACAAAGAACUCAAGAAGUUAGACCGCAGGGAGACAAAUAACCCUAUUAAAAAUGGGGUUCAGAACUAAACAAAGAAUUCACAGCUGAGGAAUGCUGAAUGGCUGAGAAACACCUAGAGAAAUGUUCAACAUCUUUAGUCAUAAUGGAAAUGCAAAUCAAAACAACCCUGAGAUUUCACCUCACACCAGUGAAAAUGGCUAAGAUCAAAAACUCAGGUGACAGCAGGUGCUGGCAAGGAUGUGGAGAAAGAGGAACACCCCUCCAUUGUUGGUGGGAUUGCAGACUGGUAAAACCAUCCUGGAAAUCAGUCUGGAGGUUCCUCAGAAAAUUGGACAUUGAACUACCUGAGGAUCCAAGCUAUACCACUCUUGGGCAUAUACCCACAAGAUGCCCCAACAUAUAAAAAAGACACGUGCUCCACUAUGUUCAUCACAGCCUUAUUUAUAAUAGCCAGAAGCUGGAAAGAACCCAGAUGCCCUUCAACAGAGGAAUGGAUACAGAAAAUGUGGUACAUCUACACAAUGGAAUAUUACUCAGCUAUCAAAAACAAUGACUUUAUGAAAUUCAUAGAUGAAUGGUUGGAACUGGAAAAUAUCAUCCUGAGUGAGGUAACCCAAUCACAGAAAAACACACAUGGUAUGCACUCAUUGAUAUGUGGAUACUAGCCCAAAUGCUUGAGUUACCCUAGAUGCACAGAACACAUGAAACUCAAGAAGGAUGACCAAAAUGUGAAUGUUUCACUCCUUCUUUAAAAGGGGAAUAAGAAUACCCUUGGCAGGGAAGAGAGAGGCAAAGAUUAAAACAGAGACUGAAGGAACACCCAUUCAGAGCCUGCCCCACAUGUGGCCCAUACAUAUACAGCCACCCAAUUAGACAAGAUGGAUGAAGCAAAGAAGUGCAGGCUGACAGGGACUGGAUGUAGAUCUCUCCUAAGAGACACAGCCAGAAUACGGCAAAUACAUAGGCAAAUGCCAGCAACAAACCACUGAACUGAGAACGGGACCCCCAUUGAAGGAUUCAGAGAAAGGACUGAAAGAGCUUGAAGGAGCUCAUGACCCCUUAUGAACAACAAUGCCAAGCAACCAGAGCUUCCAGGGCUAAGCCACUACCUAAAGACUAUACAUGGACUGACCCUGGACUCUGACCUCAUAGGUAGCAAUGAAUAUCCUAGUAAGAGCACCAGUGGAAGGGGAAGCCCUUGGUCCUGCCAAGACUGAACCCCCAGUGAACGUGAUUGUUGGGGGGAGGGCAGCAAUGUGGGGACAGUGGGGAGGGGAACACCCAUAAAGAAGGGGAGGGGGGAUUAGGGGGAUGUUUGCCCGGAAACCGGGAAAGGGAAUAACAUUCGAAAUGUAAAUAAGAAAUACUCAAGUUAAUAAAAAAAACUGUUUUACACUUGCCCUUUGCAAUACUGGGAUUUUAUCUGGCUUAAAAAUCUACAGGCCGUGUAUAUGCUGCUAUAGUCUCUGUCAGUUCAAACACACGUCAGUCCUUUUGUACCUGGAAGACAAUGUUUCAUGGGUGCCCUUCACCACCUCUGGCUUUUACAGUUUUUCUCUCUCCUCUUCCACACAAGUCCUUGAUCUCUGAGAGGAAGCUUUUGAUGAAGGCAUAUCAUAAGACUGAGUGUUCUAAAGUAUUUUAUUCUCUACAUAUUGCCUAGUUGUGGGUCUCUGUGUUAAUUAAUUUCCAUCUACUUCAAGAAGAAGAUUAUUUGAUAUGCAUUGCUCAAUACACUGGUCUACAAGUCCAGCAAUAUGUCAUUAGGACUCAUUCAUAUCUACAAAUACAAAAGUAACUUAAUGGAGUCACCAUAUAAUGAGGGAGUCAUUGCCCCAAUAAGAUAUCUUAUGCCACAAAGUUAAACCUUCAUGCUAGGAAUUGGUUAUAUCUUAUUGAGUCACUGGACAAGAGGAUCUCCAAUAGACCUCCCAUUCAAACCUCACAGGAUAUUGGAAAAGUUUUUGGUUACCUUCCACAAUCUGAUGGGAAGGCCCUAUUGCUUAGGGCGACAAUUAUUUAUAUAAUCAAAUGUGGAGAAGUUGAGCAGGUGCCCAAGUAUAAGCUUUAUGCAUACUGACUGGAAGAUGUUCUGCCUGAAACUGGAGGAACGUUAACUAUCAGUUUCACACAGCUACAAAUGCUGUAACAAUGUAAUCCAUUAUGUAAACAAACUCAAAGCAAAAAAAAAAAAAAACCCACACAAUCAUUUCACUAGAUGGUGAGACAGCAUUUGACAAAAUUCAACACCCCUUCAUGAUAAAAGUCCUGGAAAUAUCAGGAAUUCAAGGCCCUUACCUAAACAUAGUAAAAGAAAUAUACAGCAAACUAGUAGCUAACAUUAAACUAAAUGGAGAGAAACUUGAAGCAAUCCCACUAAAAUCAGGGAUGAGACAAGGCUGCCCACUCUCUCCCUACUUAUUCAAUAUAGUACGUGAAGUACUAUCCAGAGCAAUAAGACAAUGAAAGGAGGUCAAAGGGAUACAAAUUGGAAAGGAAGAAGUUAAAAUAUCACUAUUUGCAGAUGAUAUGAUAGUAUACUUAAGUGACCCCAAAAAUUCCACCAGAGAACUUUUAAGCCUGAUAAACAACUUCAGCAAAGUGGCUGGGUAUAAAAUUAACUCAAACAAAUCAGUAGCCUUCCUCUACUUAAAGCAUAAGCAGCCUGAGAAAGAAAUUAGGGAAAUGACACCCUCCACAACAUAACAUAAAAUACCUCAGUGUGACUCUAACCAAACAAGUGAAAGAUCUGUAUGACAAGAACCUCAAGUCUCUGAAGAAAGAAAUUGAAGAAGACCUCAGAAGAUGGAAAGACCUCCCAUGCUCAUGGAUUCGCGGGAUUAAUACAGUAAAAAUGGCCAUUUUGCCAAAAGCAAUCUACAGAUUCAAUGCAAUCCCCAUCAAAAUUCCAAUCCAAUUCUCCAUAGAUUUAGAGCAGUUUGCAAAUUCAUUUGUAAUAACAAAAAAACCCAGGAUAGCAAAAACUAUCUGCAAUAAUGAAAGAACUUCUGGGGGAAUCACCAUCCCUGACAUCAAGCAGUAUUACAGAGCAAUAGUGAUAAAAACUGCAUGGUAUUGGUACAGAGACAGACAGAUAGACCAAUGGAACAGAACUGAAGACCCAGAAAUGAACCCACACACCUAUAGUCUCUUGAUCUUUGACAAAGGAGCUAAAACCAUCCAAUGGAAAAAAGAUAGCAUUUUCAAGAAAUGGUGCUAGUUCAACUGAAGGUCAGCAUGUAGAAGAACGAAAAUCGAUCCAUGCUUAUCACCCUGUACAAAGCUUAAGUCCAAGUGGAUCAAGGACCUCCACAUCAAACCAGAUACACUCAAACUAAUGGAAGAAAAUGAGGAAGAGCCUCAAACACAUGGGCAGUGGGGAAAAUUUCCUGAACAAAACCGUAAUGGCUUAUGCUCUAAGAUCAAGAAUAGACAAAUGGGAUCUCAUAAGACUGCAAAGCUUCUGUAAGGCAAAGGACACUGUUGUUAGGACAAAAUGGCAACCAACAGAUUGGGAAAAGAUCUUUACCAAUCCUCCAUUUGGUAGAAGGCUAAUAUCCAAAAUAUAUAGAGAGCUCAAGAAGUUAGACUCCAGAAAGCCAAAUAACCUUAUUAAAAUGGGGUACAGAGCUAAACAAAGAAUUCUCAGCUGAGGAAAAUUGAAUGCCUGAGAAGCACCUAAAGAAACGCUCAACAUCCUUUGUCAUCAGGGAAAUGCAAAUCAAAACAACCCUGAGAUUUCACCUCACACCAGUCAGAAUGGCUAAGAUCAAAAACUCAGGGGACAACAGAUGCUGGCAAGGAUGUGGAGAAACAGGAACACUCCUCCAUUGUUGGUGGGAUUGCAAACUGGUACAACCACUCUGGAAAUCAGUCUGGAGGUUCCUCAGAAAAUUGGACAUUGUCCUACCUGAGGACCCAGCUAUACCUCUCCUGGGCAUAUAUCCAAAAGAUGCUCCAACAUACAACAAAGACACAUGUUCCACUAUGUUCAUAGCAGCCUUAUUUAUAAUAGCUAGAAGGUGGAAACCCAGAUGCCCUUCAACAGAGGAAUGGAUACAGAAAAUGUGGUACAUCUACACAAUGAAGUACUACUCAGCUAUUAAAAACAAUGACUUCAUGAAAUUCAUAGGUAAAUGGAUUGAACUAGAAAAUAUCAUCCUGGCUGAGGUAACCCAAUUACAGAAAAACACACAUGAUAUGUAAUCACUGAUAAGUGCAAAUUAGUUCAAAAGCUCAAAUUACCCAAAAUACAAUCCACAGACCACAUGAACCUCAAGAAGAAGGACGGCCAAAGUGUGGAUGCUUCCCUCCUUCUUAAUAGGGGGAACAAAAAUAUUCAUAAGAGGGGUGUGGAGACAAAGUUUGGAGCAGAGAUUGAAGGAAUGGCCAUUCACAGCCUGCCCCACAUAUGGCCCAGAGAUAUAAAGCCACCAAAACUAAUGAUAAAGCUAAGAAGAGCAUGCUGACAGGAGCCAGAUAUAGAUGUCUCCUGAGAGGCACAGCCAGAGCACGUGAAAUAUAGAGGUGAAUGCUAGCAGCAAACCACUGAACUGAGAAAGAAUUAGAGAAAGGAGUGAAAGAGCUUGAGGGGCUUGCAACCCCAUCAGAACAAAAAUGCCAACCAACCAGAGCUCCCAGGGACUAAACCACUACCCAAAGACUAUACUUGGACUGACCCAUGGCUCAAACUGCAUAUGUAGAAGAGGAUGGCCUUGUUGGGCACCAAUGGAAGGAAAAACCCUUGGUCCUGCCAAGGUUGGAACCCCCCCCCAGUGUAGAGGAAUGUCGGAGGGGGAGCCGUGAAAGGGUGGAUGGGGAGGGGAACACACUUACAGAAGAGGGAAAGGGGAUGGGAUAGGAAGCUUAUGUCUGUUGAACUGGAAAAGGGAAUGACAUUUGAAAUGUAAAUAAAGAAAUAUCCAAUAAAAGAAAAAAAAAGAAAGAAAAUACCCUAUUUCAAAUAAGUGUGAAAGAAAACCCAAAGUAGUAGCUGGUCUUGAUCCUAUGGCUUUGUAUCUGUGUCAGAAUUAACUAAAUCCCAUGGGGCAAAUAUGGGCCUCAGACAUAUCACAUGUAAGAUGUCAUAGGACAAAUUGUUGCCUCUGGUAGGUCUGAUUCUUUCAUAAGUUACAAGUUUAAUCCAUGGCUCUUUUCAGAAACCUUGGUUAAUUUUUUGAAACUUACUUUUCUACACUAUACAUUAUUCAUAUUCCUGUCUGUCUUCAUUUCUUUCUUUUUAAAGUGAAUCGGAUUGAACCAAGGCUUCACAAGGAAACACUCUCACGCUGUUCUAAAUCUCUAGCCUUCAUCUUUCAUCCCUUUAAACUCAUAGCUGUAUAAUUUUCCUUGAAAAGUAGAUUUCAGAUUGUCUUAUUUCAUGUAUCUGUGUGUUUUCCUGUAUAUAUGGGUGUGGUACACAUUCAUGCCUGGUGCCUCUAGAGUUCAGAAGAGAAUGUCAGACACCCCUACUGGAGUUAUCGAGGAUUGUGAGCCACCAUGCACUGGGAGGUAAACCAUUCUCUUUUGCAAGAACAGUGAGAAUUCCUAACUGCUAAACUAUCUCUCUAGCCCUAUUGUAUGUAUUUUCUUUUUUGAAUAAUGCUACUCAUGGUAUAGCCUUGAGUUUAUUAUAUGACAGUUAAAAAUAAUCUUGUAAAACAAAUCCUAUAGCUGCUACAUUUUCCCAUACACAGUUUUCUAGUGCCACCAAGGAUUGUCAUUUAGAAAUAUAAGCUGAGAGGAGUUACCAUUUCUUCCACGAUCUACAUCUUGUGUGUGGAAGCUUUGCCUUUCCUAAAUGUGACGAUCUUUCUAUCUGCUACUUGGACAUGAGAUUUCAACUCUCAGCUUGUUGGCCAUAGUAGUCAUGUGGCUUCUUGGUGACAUGGAGAGAUGCCAAUGAAUGGGAAAAGCAUUCAAUGGGUAUAUCAAUUCUCUCAAAAUGACCAUUUUCCCUCCACAGGCCCCCAUACUGAGUUUCAGCUGGAGUCCACUUUACACGGAUCCUUGAGAUAUUUACGUGCACUCUCUAAUCUUUUUCUCAUUGGUAUAACAAAAUAAUCAAACAAUAAAUGACUUAACCAAGGAAAGAUUAGCGUUGGCUUACAGUCUCAGAGUAGAAUCAGAGCGGAACAUAUGACAGCACAGGACAGAGAUAGGUGACCACAUUGUAUGUACUCCCCUUCCCCCCACUUCUCUGCAGUCUGAGAGUCAAGCCAUGAUAUGAUGACACUAAUCUUUAGGGUGGCCUUUCUUUCCAAAGUUAAGUAUUUACUUGGUGUACUAAGAAUCAAACAUUGUAAUAGAAAUCUUAGUACCAAUUCCUGGCUCUGGAUUUUCAUAUAACUGGGUCCUUAUGGGUCUGAUUUAUGGGCUUUCUAUUUCCUUAUGCAGACUUUGUUCACAUUGGAUUAUGGCCCACUCUGAUGAUCUCAUCUUAACUUGAUUUUAUCUACAAAGAUCAUAUUUCCAAAUAAAGUCAUUCAUUAGUAUCAAGGACUCAUGAGUAAAGUACUCUACCAUGAUGUUGGGCAGUGACAGCAAGCCACAGAUAUCAUCAGUUUAUUCAUGAAGAUAAAUAACUGAAACUCCAUACCAUGUACCAUGGUAUCAACUAUGACGGUAGGUAGACUAGAUGUAUCAAGUGCAUUGGGACUUGCCACAUUUCCAGCUUUUAGUAGACUUAUUGAAUGCCUUCAUCUUCAGUGAAAACAUCUCAAUACUAUAUGCACUGUAAUGGUUCAAAGUACAAUAUUUUGAACAUUAUCAUGCACAGUAUCUUAGGAUUUCAUGGCUGUGAAGAACCACUAUGGCCAAGACUAGUCUUAUAAAUGAAAUGUUUAAUUUGGGAUGUUUCAGAGUUUUACUCCAUUAUCCUCACAGUGGGAAGCAUGACAGCAUACAGGCUGACAGGGUACUGGAGAUGGAAUUGAGAGUUCUACAUCUUGAUCCUCAGACAGUCAAAGAGACUGUGCAUCAUGCUAAGCAUAGGUUGAUCAUAGGAGACCUCCAAACCUGCCCUCAUGGUGGCAACAUUUUCUCAAACAAGGCCACAUCUAUUAAUAGGGAAACUCCUUGUGGUCCAAGCAUUCAAAGACCUAAGUCUCAGGGCCAUCCUGAUAAAACUACCAGGUAAAUGAUUAUGGGUUAAGUAGUUGAUAUACUGUAUGUACAUUUCACAAUUAUAACAUGAGCUUUAUGUACAUUUCACAAUUAUAACAUGAGCUUUGAGCUAUCUAUCAGCAACUAUACCAGAAUCUGGAUGUAUAGGAAAGGAUUAUAUAAAUUCAGCCACCUAUCCUGCACUCCAGGUGGCUUGCACACCCAUGACUAUGUCUCAUAAAUAUUAGAGAAAUAAUUGUGAAAACAUAAUAGCAAGGGCUAGAAAGAUGUCUCAGUCAUUAAGAGUACUGGUUCCUCUGGCAUAGGCCCUGAGUUGUACUUCCAGUACCCAUGCAGUGACUCACAAGCAUGCGUAACUCUAGUUCCAGAAGAUUAGACCCCAGUUUUUGGCUUCUACAAGCAAGCACCAGGCACUUACAUGGUAUACAGAUAUACAUGCAGACAAAGCACUCAGACACAUAGAAAAGUUUAUUGCUUAUAAAAGCAAAUAAAAGAAUAAGCCCAGAAUGCAAAUGAGUAAAAGAAAAAUUAUAUAAAUUAUGGUACACAUAAAUGUAUCUGUGUGUAUAUAAAUAAGAAAGAAAAUGUAGUUAAUAGAACACAGGGCUUGUGGUUCAUCCUGAAGAUGCUGGGGACCUGAGAAUAUGUAGCUCUUACAAGGACAAGACUGAACAAUAUAUAAAGUAACAGUUACCACUGAUUGUAUCAGAAGUGAGGCUGAAAAGCAAACAAGAAAACCAGGGGAUGUAGGAUGCUCACUGAAAGAGAAGCAGGACAGCUACUGACUUGAGGGCAGGUAUUAUAGGACACAGUAAGAACAACAUUUGUUGAAAAUGUCCCUGUAUUCCUGGAUCCAGAGCUUAGCUAGUGUGUGGGUGUGGGCUAGACCAGGGCUUUAGAUGUAGCAGAAAUUUACACUGGUUAUUUCUUUAAAAAUAUGUCCUGGAUUCAUAACAGGGGAAAAAUCAUAAACACUCCUACCUUAUAAACUCUCAAGGUUACCGAAUGGAAGGGCAUUGGGGGCAUAUUCUAGGGACGGGCAGAGAUAAGUUCUUGUGGGAGCAUUCUAUCACAAAAAUGGCAAAUAGGUGAAGGCCUCUUCCCCAGAAAAAUCCACUCUGUGUGUGUGUGUGUGUGUGUGUGUGUGUGUGUGUGUGUGUGUGUGUGUGUGUUGAAGCUUAGCCAGAAAUCAGGAGAGUGGUUUUCUCUCAUAAUCCAUCACGCUUCCAGUCAGCACACAGAAGGAUCAGUGAUAUGUAUCAGGGGGUGGGGAAGAAGAAACAAACCCUCUGAGGAGCAUCACCGUGGAGCAUGGCGGACAAGGAAUGGAUAGCAGACGUUACACUAUUACAAUUAUCUCUGGAAAAUGGACCCAUUUGCUAAACACGUGGAGUCAUUAUAAGAACUUAGUGGCUAUUUUACACCGAGGAUAUCUAUAACAUGAUACUUGAAACCGGUCCUAUUCCUGAUUACAAUAACAUGUUCUUCACACUGAGGGCUUUGUAUCCAAAGUCAUGAUCACACUGAGACGUAGACAUUAUUUAACUCUCUAUGUUAUCUCCUCUUCAGCACAGUCACCUUUGGACAGGAACAAGAAUUACACAGCGUAUGAAGCAAAGGAAAAGAAAUCCAGGAUCCCAAAAUUCAAUCUGGUGGUCAUUAGAGCCUGACCCAGAUAUGACACAAAUGUUAAAAACGCCAUACAGAAAAUUUAAAAUGUUGAACUUUUGGGUGAAAAAGUAGAAAAAAAAAACUGCAAGACCAGACAGGUAAUGUUAGCAGAGGAGUUUGAACAAAGGAAAAAGAUAGAAAAAAGUGUUAACACAAGAAACACAGUAAUAGAGGGCAACUCUCUGAAAAGCUCAUUGAUGUAAUGCAUGCAGCUGUACAAAGGAGUGAACUUACCUAUAUGUUAGUAGAUUUUGAAUAGCCUGAAGCUCAGAAAGAAAAAAAAAUACUAGAGACGUCAGAUGGGCAGAAUUCUCCUGUCAGAGCUUAAGUAUCCAUCCCUGUGUACAAUGGACACUCACGGGGCAAGUCCCACUAAAACUUGGAACUGAGCUAAAAGGCAAGCCUUCGAAUGUAUGAGUGAAUUUAGCUCUCUCAAAGAUGUAUAUUGUAAUGGCAGUAAGCAGACCGGGGACCAUGCUUCUGCAUUGUAUAGGCCGGUGACAGUGAUGUCUUCUGUCUCCUGAUGAAUGUGCUUACAUUCGACAGUGUUAGAGUAAAAACUUAAGACCCAAUACUAUUUAUCUCCCAUGCAAAUGUCUAUUUAUUUUGGGAGUUUUUCUGAUGUCAUAGUUCUGUGUUCUUGUGUAUGACUCCUAAGGUCCUCAGAGACUCUGAAGCUCUAGUUUUCUUGUAUGGUACUGAGGUAACCAAUGCCUGGUAGCAUCUUAUAGCUUCAGUACCCACACGGGUCACUGAAAAACAAACAGCCUUAGAGGUUUGGAAUUGCUAACUUUUACUCUCCUCCAGAAAGAGAGGGGGAUGCUAGACAUUUAAGUGAUGAGCAAUGGCCAAAGAUCUAGUGAAUUGUGUUCAUGAGAUGACGUAAUGAGUUUCCCUUCAAUCCUCCCCAAGGUAGAGUGCGGACCUCUCUAAGAGAGCAGCACAUGGAGGUUCCAAGGGGGUAAUGCACCUUCUUAUAUACUUUCCCUCAGGGCAUCAACCGAUAAAUGUAAGAAAGCCUUUCGCUGAGCCACGUGAAUAAAUUAACUGAACCUGAGAGUCGUGAUAAUUCAAUUUAUAGCCAGAGGGACAGAAACACAGGUAAAGAGUGUCUGAGGCUUUUCACCAGCACUUGGGUGGUACAGCAAAUUUGGUGAUGGAACCCUCAGUCUACUGGAUCCUGGCCUCUUUCCAGGUUGGUAACAUUAUCACUGAGUUGAAAUAAAGGACACACAGCUUCUCGGUGGGGUGAAUGUCUCACAGCUUCUAUCAGCAGUGAAAAUGCAGUAAGGGAUACUGAGUCUGCCUCUGGUCUAUUCUGUUUAAACUUACAGAUCACAUAUGUGUAAGUUAAUAUUUUUUUGUGUGUGUGUCACCACAAAGAAAGAGAAGUUAGUGAGUGUAUUCAUUAAACUCAAAGGAUUCUACUAUUCUCUGUUGCAGAAAACUUGUACAAUUAGAAAAACCUUAGGGGGAAAAAUACUCUGUAGUGAUUAAAUACUAAAAACUAAGAACUUUUGUGGGGGAUGGUCAUGUGGUAUGUGAGUGUGUGUGUGUGUGUGUGUGUGUGUGUGAAGCUAUAACCAAAUCUGAGGAAUCUAAAAGGGCACAUGCAUGUUCAUGGAUGUUCUUAUACCAAGAAAAAGACCUUAAAUGAUCCCGAUCUCUCAUAUCAGAUUAACGUUGAAGCUCUGUGCAAAUGCACGGUAAAAGCUCUCACAGUUAUAAAUUACUACAGGAACCAUAAGGGCACAACCCAGUGUUAAGACUGACAAACACAGUCAGAUGCUCUCCGUUUAAAAAUGACCACAGAUUGUUGAUAAUUUCAUUCCCAUAAAUUCUACAAAUUAGUUGAACUAGACUCUCUUUGGAAGACACCAAGUGUCAAAGUUCCUCACCCAGGAGGAGGAGUAGAUGCUGACAUUUCCCUGCACUUUUACAGGAUGAGAUUUUUCAGGUAAAAUAUUGCUGGGAAUGAAAUCCAGGCAGACAGAGGUAGACCAUACUAAAUAAUUAGGAAAAGAGUCACAGUUCUUGGUACUGUUACUCCAAAAGUAGGAGGAGAGAAACCACUUCCCAACUCCAUUUAAAAUUCAUCAUUAUGGAUGCAAAUGAAUCUCCAAAAUAUUUGAAAGUCAACUAAGCAGCAAAUGAAAGUGUUAAUGAACCACAACCAUUCCAGGUCUAUCACAGCGGCCUAAAGGUGCUGUUUUAGCUUUUUUUUUUCACUGUGAGAAAAUAAUCUAUAGAAAUGAGUGAUAAAAGAUUAUUUUUUGGCUCACGGCUUUCCAGUCAGUGGUAGCCUGGAUCCAUUGUUUUGGGUGGGGUCAAAGUUGAGGCAAAAAUAUGAUGAGAGGGAGUGACAGUGGUGUGUGUGUGUAUGCGUGUGUGUGUGUAUCUCUGCAUGUGUGUGUAUGAAUGUGUGGUGUGUACAUGAGUAUGUGGAUGUGUGUGUGUGAGUGUGUGUAUAUGUGUGAGUGUGUAUAUGCAUGUGUGUAUUGUGUGUAUCUCUGCAUAUGAAUGUGAGUGUAUGAGUGUCUGUAUGUGAGUAUGUGUGUGUGUAUUAGUUGAUGUGUGUGUGUGUGUGUUAGUUGGGGUGUGUGUGUGUGUAUGUGUGUUUGUGUGUGUGUAUGUGUGUUCAAGGUUAAGAUGCAUGUUUCCAGACAACCCCUUCUUUUAGAUAUGCCCUACCUCCUAGUUUUCCCUAUCUCCCAAUAAUUUCAAACUAGGAGUUUGAGUGAAUUAAUCUAUCAAUUAUGUCACAGCCCUCAUGAUCCUGCCACUUGCCACAGGCCCUAACUCUGAACACUGCUUGCAUUGGGACCAAGCUUCAGUAAAGGAAUCUUUUGAAGACAUUUCAUACCCUAAGUACAGUCAUGGCUUUAACAUUUAAACAUUUACAGAGCAAUUCCCAUAGCAAAGGGCUAACUAAAAUCAAACAAAUGAGCUCAUCAACAUGUAUGGGAAACUCUGAACAUGCUUAAACACUGAUUUACACAAUAACCAGUAAAUUCUCAGUGUGCUGAGAAUGUAGGGAGUCUCCUAAGUGUCUUAACUUUAUACAGGGCAUUUUCAAAAGCUUGGGCUAGGAGACCCUCCAUUCCACACAGGAUGCCUUUCCUAAGGACAAAUAUAUAUUCUCUAUGCUACCAUUGAAUGUCAUAAUUGAAAUAAAUUAAUAAAUAAGAUAAAAAAGAAAAGAGCCACACAAACAUAAAAAGUUUUUUCUACCCACAUGUAGAAAAUUUGUUACAUGCUACUACAUGUAACAAAUCCACACCUACAAAAUGUCUCUAUAACUUAGCAAACUGUAAAGAUGUCCCUAUAACUUACAGCAAGCUGUGAAGGAUUCCAUCUGGAAUCUCAUCAUCUCCCCACAGAGCAGCAAUAAGCAACUAGAAUUUAAAACAAAUAUAACCUGUGACUGCAGUAAAAGUUAAUGAAAUAUUUAUUGUCAUGGUUAAGUUUGUGUUGCUGUAACAAAAUACCUGAGUAUAAUGCACUUGAAAGCAGAGAGGUUUAUCUUGGCUUUUGGAUUUUUGUCUUUCCUAAGACAGAACACCAUGCCUAAGACCUGCCAUCCACUCAGCAGGAAGCCUUCAGCGACUUAACUUCUUCUGCUGGGCCCUACAUCUUGAAGCGAACCACCACCAGUAGGGCUGUGUGGCUGGCAACCAAGACUUUAGCAUAUGGGCCUUUUAGAGAUAUGUGAAAUACAAACUCUGACACUCCAGUAAAGAAAUAAGACAAUAUAAUGCAUGCAAGGUCUGUAUGUGAAAAGCUAUGACAUGUUGGUAUAAGAGAUAAGAUUCAAACAAAGGGGAACAUACCAUGCCUGGAGGUUGGGAACCCAAUGGAAAUGCCUUGUCACUUGAUAGCGCUUAAUUAAUUGUUUCUAUGAUGUCGCUCUAAAACCGGGUUAGCACUUCAGUGCCAACUCACGCUUCGACUUAGCACAGCAGCUGUGUAGACAUUUUGUUAUGGAUUUGAUGGAAAUCUAGACACACAGAUCAGUGGAACAGGGCAGAAAGUUCCAAAAUUGAUCCAAGCUGGUACAAUUAAUUACAUUUUCAGCAAGACAAUUCAAUAGAAGAGUAACAUUUUCAUACAGUAAAAAAGAAAAUAUCAACCUCAACACUUUACACAAAAGUUAAUUCAAAUGGAUCAUAGGCCUGAACAGAAAUACAAUGAAAUAUUAUCUCCCUGCUCACAAAGGAGAAAUGCUGCAUAUCAGAUUUGACACAAGCUGUAAGAAAAAUGCAUAAAUUAUUAUUGAUCCAAAUCAAAUAUCUUUACUCUGAUACUAAUAAGGAUAUCUGAAAAAGAAAAUAUCCUGUGUCUAAUAAUUUAUAAUUAUAAUGUUAAUGUAUAAUUAUAAAUAUAGUUUAUAAUAUAAUCACCCUUUAAUCUGAAUGUCCCACUCCUUGUUAAGGGGAUAUCACUGGUGGAAACAUUUGGCUUGCUGUAGAAAUCAGCACUCUAACUCCUAUUAAGUUAUUUAAAAUGAACCAACAACAUCUUAUAGUCACACAAAAUGUGGAGAUGAAUGGAUUUUAGCUUUGUUCAUGACAGCAGAAUUCUAAAAAUAACCCAGGUUCUCUUUCACAAAUGUGGGUAUGUUAGUUUCUUUCCCUGUUGAUGUGAUAGUACACUCUGGCGUAGCAACUUAAGGGAGAAAAGGCUUGUUUUGGGUCUCAGUCUAUCACGGCAGGGAAACGGGCAGCUAGAGCUUGAAGUAACUAAUAACAUCACAUCUGCAAUCAGGACACACAGAGAGAUGAAUGCUAGCACUUGGCUAGCCUUCUCCAUUUACAAAGCCCAAGAUGACAGUCCUGCCUGCAAUGGCUCAGUGGUUAAGAGCACUGGCUACUCUUCCAGAGGUCCUGAGUUCAAUUCUCAGCAACCACGUGGUGGCUCACACCCAUCUGUAAUGGGGAUCCAAUGCCCUCUUCUGGUGUGUCUGAAGACAGCAACAGUGUAUUCACAUACAUAAAAUAAAUAACUUAAAAAAAAAAAAGACUGGUUUUCCCCAUCACUUAACAUAAUAAAGAUAGUCUGUCAUUGGUGUGUCAGGACACCUGUGUCUCUGGUGAGCCUAGAUUCUGUCAAAUGAACAACUGAUGCAUUCUGACAGCAUCAAAAAGCAGCCUUUAAGCCGACUUUAAGAAAUAAUGUUCCUUGGCAGAUUUGCAGCUUGGUCUUCAUGUGGGUCCUGAACAAUCGGAACUGGGCUAUCCCAAAACUGUUGCCUCUAUGUGGGAUGUGUUCUA
Rattus norvegicus (Norway rat) is the source of this 27182-nucleotide non-coding RNA. The record is from RefSeq and is a predicted model, not a curated record. Lineage: Eukaryota; Metazoa; Chordata; Mammalia; Rodentia; Muridae.